RNAcentral lists this ribosomal RNA (501 nucleotides) under uncultured bacterium. RNAcentral describes it as "bacterial SSU rRNA". It matches the Rfam family "Bacterial small subunit ribosomal RNA", at positions 899 to 1397 of the family's 1533-position model. The record is from RNAcentral.
ACUCAAAUGAAUUGACGGGGGCCCGCACAAGCAGCGGAGCAUGUGGUUUAAUUCGAAGCAACGCGAAGAACCUUACCAGGGCUUGACAUCCCUCUGGAAUACCUAGAGAUAGGUAUGGCCCUUCGGGGACAGAGGAGACAGGUGGUGCAUGGUUGUCGUCAGCUCGUGUCGUGAGAUGUUGGGUUAAGUCCCGCAACGAGCGCAACCCCUAUCUUUAGUUGCCAGCAUUUAAGGUGGGCACUCUAAAGAGACUGCCGUGGAUAACACGGAGGAAGGUGGGGAUGACGUCAAAUCAUCAUGCCCCUUAUGUCCUGGGCUACACACGUGCUACAAUGGCCUGAAACAAAGGGAAGCCAAGGCGCAAGCCGGAGCAGAUCCCAUAAACCAGGUCCCAGUUCGGAUUGUGGGCUGCAACCCGCCCACAUGAAGUCGGAGUUGCUAGUAAUCGCGAAUCAGAAUGUCGCGGUGAAUACGUUCCCGGGCCUUGUACACACCGCCCGU